This 407-nucleotide ribosomal RNA is filed under the name uncultured bacterium. RNAcentral describes it as "partial 16S ribosomal RNA". It matches the Rfam family "Bacterial small subunit ribosomal RNA", at positions 28 to 526 of the family's 1533-position model. The record is from RNAcentral.
GACGAACGCUGGCGGCGUGCCUAAUACAUGCAAGUAGCACGCAGUUGCGAACGGGUGAGUAACGCGUCGGUGAAUUCCUCAUAGCAGGGGGUAACUAUUUGAAACGAUAACUAAUACCGCCUACUUUGACCUGGACCUGAGUUGUAUUAGGUAGUUGGUGAGGUAAAGGCUCACCAAGGCGACGAUCCAUAGCCGACCUGAGAGGUGGAUCCGCCAAAACGGGACUGGGACACGGCUCAGAAUUCUACGGGAGGCAGCAGGAGGGAAUCUUCGGAAAUUGACGGAAGGCUGGACGAGCAACGCCGCGUGAGUGAAGAAGGUUUUCGGAUCGUAAAGCUAUGUUGUUAGAGAAGCGGUAACUACACAGAAAGGGCCGGCUAACUACGUGCCAGCAGCCGCGGUAAUUC